AGGACGAACGCUGGCGGCGUGCUUAACACAUGCAAGUCGAACGGUAAGGCCUUUCGGGGUACACGAGUGGCGAACGGGUGAGUAACACGUGGGUGAUCUGCCCUGCACUUUGGGAUAAGCCUGGGAAACUGGGUCUAAUACCGAAUAUGACCAUUGGUUGCAUGACUGGUGGUGGAAAGCUUUUGCGGUGUGGGAUGGGCCCGCGGCCUAUCAGCUUGUUGGUGGGGUUAAGGCCUACCAAGGCGACGACGGGUAGCCGGCCUGAGAGGGUGUCCGGCCACACUGGGACUGAGAUACGGCCCAGACUCCUACGGGAGGCAGCAGUGGGGAAUAUUGCACAAUGGGCGCAAGCCUGAUGCAGCGACGCCGCGUGAGGGACGACGGCCUUCGGGUUGUAAACCUCUUUCAGUAGGGACGAAGCGCAAGUGACGGUACCUACAGAAGAAGGACCGGCCAACUACGCGCCAGCAGCCGC
Molecule: ribosomal RNA, 475 nt
Filed under: uncultured bacterium
Lineage: Bacteria
Description: SSU rRNA
Rfam family: Bacterial small subunit ribosomal RNA
Source: RNAcentral